GGGACUGAGAACAUUAAAUAUCUUCUCCAACUCCAUGAUCCAGUAUUCAGCUAAUAUCGGGCCGGUUGCUCCAGCAAAUGAUGGUGAGUUCAUUCUCUUAAAUCUUUCAAUGAGUUUUCUAUUAUUUUCCUCCAUUGACUUGGUGUUAUUGGUACUAGCAUUAUUACCGUUUGUAGCACUUUGGCUAUGGAUUACGUGUGAGUUACCACUGUGGCCAAGCCUUCGACUAUACAC
Molecule: long non-coding RNA, 234 nt
Filed under: Carica papaya (papaya)
Lineage: Eukaryota; Viridiplantae; Streptophyta; Magnoliopsida; Brassicales; Caricaceae
Description: long non-coding RNA (CPAP_LNC000476)
Source: RNAcentral